GCGAGAAUGGUGGAAUUGGCAGACACGCUAGACUUAGGAUCUAGUGCCGCAAGGUGUGAGGGUUCGAAUCCCUCUUCUCGCACCA
This 85-nucleotide transfer RNA is filed under the name Bacillota bacterium. RNAcentral describes it as "Firmicutes bacterium (anaerobic digester metagenome) tRNA-Leu". It matches the Rfam family "tRNA". Rfam says of the family: Transfer RNA (tRNA) molecules are approximately 80 nucleotides in length. Their secondary structure includes four short double-helical elements and three loops (D, anti-codon, and T loops). Lineage: Bacteria; Bacillati; Bacillota. The record is from RNAcentral.